RNAcentral lists this ribosomal RNA (458 nucleotides) under uncultured bacterium. RNAcentral describes it as "partial 16S ribosomal RNA". It matches the Rfam family "Bacterial small subunit ribosomal RNA", at positions 338 to 795 of the family's 1533-position model. The record is from RNAcentral.
CCUACGGGAGGCAGCAGUGGGGAAUAUUGCACAAUGGGGGAAACCCUGAUGCAGCGACGCCGCGUGAGUGAAGAAGUAAUUCGUUACGUAAAGCUCUAUCAGCAGGGAAGAAAUACUGACCUUACGGUCAGCAGACGGUACCUGAGUAAGAAGCCCCGGCUAACAACGUGCCAGCAGCCGCGGUAAUACGUAGGGGGCAAGCGUUAUCCGGGUUUAAUGGGUGUAAAGGGGGCGUAGACGGUGCGCCAAGUCUGGUGUGAAAUGCCGCAGCUUAACUGCGGAACUGCUGUGGAAACUGGCGAACUAGAGUGCGGGAGGGGUAAGCGGAAUUACUGGUGUAGCGGUGAAAUGCGUAGAUAUUAGGAGGAACACCGGUGGCGAAGGCGGCUUACUGGUCCGUAACUGACGUUGAGGCUCGAAAGCGUGGGGAGCAAACAGGAUUAGAUACCCCGGUAGUC